GGGUGGUAGCAAUAAUAAGGGAGAAAAGAGGCUACCCGAUGAUCAGAAGCUAGAAAGAGGCAAUCUUGCAUUAGAGAGAAGCUUGCACCGGUCUAAUGAGAUCAGGGUCAUCAGAUGUGAAAAAGAUACCACUGGUAACAUUAGCAAGAUCUACAUAUAUGAUGGUGUCUAUAAAAUUAGCGAGUCUUGGGUGGAGAAAGGGAAGUCUGGUUUCAAUCUCUU
RNAcentral lists this unclassified non-coding RNA (222 nucleotides) under Hevea brasiliensis (rubber tree). Lineage: Eukaryota; Viridiplantae; Streptophyta; Magnoliopsida; Malpighiales; Euphorbiaceae. The record is from RNAcentral.